This 497-nucleotide ribosomal RNA is filed under the name uncultured bacterium. RNAcentral describes it as "partial 16S ribosomal RNA". It matches the Rfam family "Bacterial small subunit ribosomal RNA", at positions 28 to 507 of the family's 1533-position model. The record is from RNAcentral.
GAUGAACGCUGGCGGCGUGCCUAAUACAUGCAAGUCGAGCGAACAGACGAGGAGCUUGCUCCUCUGACGUUAGCGGCGGACGGGUGAGUAACACGUGGAUAUCCUACCUAUAAGACUGGGAUAACUUCGGGAAACCGGAGCUAAUACCGGAUAAUAUAUUGAACCGCAUGGUUCAAUAGUGAAAGACGGUUUUGCUGUCACUUAUAGAUGGAUCCGCGCCGCAUUAGCUAGUUGGUAAGGUAACGGCUUACCAAGGCAACGAUGCGUAGCCGACCUGAGAGGGUGAUCGCCCACACUGGAACUGAGACACGGUCCAGACUCCUACGGGAGGCAGCAGUAGGGAAUCUUCCGCAAUGGGCGAAAGCCUGACGGAGCAACGCCGCGUGAGUGAUGAAGGUCUUCGGAUCGUAAAACUCUGUUAUUAGGGAAGAACAAAUGUGUAAGUAACUAUGCACGUCUUGACGGUACCUAAUCAGAAAGCCACGGCUAACUACGUG